This 74-nucleotide transfer RNA is filed under the name Hamadaea flava. Its description in RNAcentral is "tRNA-Gly". It matches the Rfam family "tRNA". From Rfam's summary of the family: Transfer RNA (tRNA) molecules are approximately 80 nucleotides in length. Lineage: Bacteria; Bacillati; Actinomycetota; Actinomycetes; Micromonosporales; Micromonosporaceae. RNAcentral also lists the same sequence under 2 other names. The record is from RNAcentral.
GCGGGCGUAGCUCAAUGGUAGAGCCUCAGUCUUCCAAACUGAUUACGUGAGUUCGAUUCUCAUCGCCCGCUCCA